GCGGGGGUGCCCGAGCCAGGUCAAAGGGGCAGGACGUAGGCCUGCGUGGGUUCGAAUCCCACCCCCCGCACCA
This 73-nucleotide transfer RNA is filed under the name Thermoproteus uzoniensis 768-20. RNAcentral describes it as "tRNA-Tyr". It matches the Rfam family "tRNA". From Rfam's summary of the family: Transfer RNA (tRNA) molecules are approximately 80 nucleotides in length. Their secondary structure includes four short double-helical elements and three loops (D, anti-codon, and T loops). Further hydrogen bonds mediate the characteristic L-shaped molecular structure. tRNAs have two regions of fundamental functional importance: the anti-codon, which is responsible for specific mRNA codon recognition, and the 3' end, to which the tRNAs corresponding amino acid is attached (by aminoacyl-tRNA synthetases). tRNAs cope with the degeneracy of the genetic code in two manners: having more than one tRNA (with a specific anti-codon) for a particular amino acid; and 'wobble' base-pairing, i.e. permitting non-standard base-pairing at the 3rd anti-codon position. Lineage: Archaea; Thermoproteati; Thermoproteota; Thermoprotei; Thermoproteales; Thermoproteaceae. The record is from RNAcentral.